Molecule: long non-coding RNA, 1484 nt
Organism: Eriocheir sinensis (Chinese mitten crab)
Lineage: Eukaryota; Metazoa; Arthropoda; Malacostraca; Decapoda; Varunidae
Exons: 2
Source: RefSeq, a predicted model, not a curated record
CUUCCAAGUGGCUGGGUCCAUUUGUUUCCACUCAUGAAACACGAGUUCAGAGUCACUCUUGAUGGCUGCUGUUUCAUGAGCCAUGUUUCAGCAGCCAUAUUCUUCACUUGGUGGGCAGUGCUUGGCCACUUGCCUUCUGUGACCUUCCUCAUGUAUGUACUUGGCAAUGAAGCCAUAGUUCUUCAUGAUACACAUCUCCCUGUGUGUGAGACCACCGGAGGGCUUGUUUUUUUUUAUCCUCCCGACUCUAUCUCUCAGAGUUGAUCUUGGUUUGCAGCUGCACAGCUGUUCAGCCUUUACUUAAAAGGCUCUUGCUUUUUAUUUUGGUUUUUGAAGUCAGCCUUCUCACUGUUGUAUAAGAAUUCAUUCUCCUUAUACCAAUCCGCAAGAUCUUUCUCUUCUUCAGCUCCAAGUGUGAGAGCUGCGGCUGAACUUCUUUGUUUCCUGUGAACCUGCUCCUUGUGUCUUGUUGCUGUAUGUUCUCCUCCCUUCAAAUGAGUCCUGAAGGGGAAGAAAUCCAUAUUGGGAUUUUUUUUCUACAGCAAAGGAAACGGCUCAAGGGCAAAAAAAGGAGAUAGUAAUGAAAGAAAGUCCACAACUCACUGCCCCUAUAGAAAAGCGUUCAGAGGGGUGGCCAAAAGAGAGGUCAAUUUCGGGAGGAGAGGUGUCCCGAUACCCUCCUCUUGAAAGAGUUCAAGUCAUAGGCAGGAGGAAAUACAGAUGAAGGAAGAUUGUUCCAGAGAUUACCAGCGUGAGGGAUGAAAGAGUGACGAUGCUGGUUAACUCGUGCGUAAGGGGUUUGGACAGUAAAGGGAUGAGCUUGAGUAGAAAGUCGAGUGUGGUGAGGGCACGGGAGGGGGGAGGCAUGCAGUUAGCAAGUUCAGAAGAGCAGUCAGCCACAUAUUCCCCCCCCAGAGUCUCCCGUCCCAUCCCAACAACCCAUCCCUCCCUCCACCCCACAGUGCCAGCCACAUUCUCCCCUCCCAGAGUCUCCCGUCCCAUCCCAACAACCCAUCCCUCCCUCCUCCCCUCAGUGCCAGCCACAUUCUCCCCUCCUAGAGUCUCCCGUCCCAUCCCAACAACCAAUCCCUCCCUCCCUCCCUCCCUCCCUCCCUCCCCUCAGUGCCAGCCACAUUCUCCCUUCCCAAAGCCUCCCGUCCCAUCCCAACAACCCAUCCCUCCCUCCUCUCCUCUGCAGUCCACCUCCAGUCAGCCUGAUCAGCCCUGGGGAGCCUGACUGCUCCAUCAUCUUCAGUCACCCAGGAUGUGAAGAACAAACUACAGAGCAUGUGGUGUGUGCUGGGAUGCCUUGCAGGAGAUCACGCUGGGAUACGAAGCCGCCCCUCAAGAGAUGGAGUCCACUCAACCGCUCGAUUCUGCCGAGAGAAAAGAAUCGUUCAACUCUGAAGAUUGCCACGGAUUCUUAUGUAUUAGCUAGCGAGAUGUGAACUUUCUAUCUCGUGAAAAUAAAGAUCAGGGACGUA